GUGCUUGCUUCAUCAGCAUAUAUACUAAAAUUGGAAUGAUACAGAGGAGAUUCGCAUGGCCCCUAUGCAAGGAUGUACUUUCUUCCUCCAUCAGUGGAUUUCU
Small nuclear RNA from Dromiciops gliroides (monito del monte), 103 nucleotides. The record is from RefSeq and is a predicted model, not a curated record. NCBI's taxonomy places the organism in Eukaryota, Metazoa, Chordata, Mammalia, Microbiotheria, Microbiotheriidae.